This 237-nucleotide ribosomal RNA is filed under the name uncultured bacterium. RNAcentral describes it as "partial 16S ribosomal RNA". It matches the Rfam family "Bacterial small subunit ribosomal RNA", at positions 540 to 776 of the family's 1533-position model. The record is from RNAcentral.
GUUGUUCGGAAUUACUGGGCGUAAAGGGUUCGUAGGUGGCUUGCUAAGUCAGACGUGAAAUCCCUCAGCUUAACUGGGGAACUGCGUCUGAGACUGGUGAGCUUGAGUGCAGGAGAGGAACGCGGAAUUCCAGGUGUAGCGGUGAAAUGCGUAGAUAUCUGGAGGAACACCGGUGGCGAAGGCGGCAUCCUGGACCGGCAUUGACGCUGAGGCGCGAAAGCCAGGGGAGCAAACGGG